This 1132-nucleotide ribosomal RNA is filed under the name Candidatus Phytoplasma rubi. RNAcentral describes it as "bacterial SSU rRNA". It matches the Rfam family "Bacterial small subunit ribosomal RNA", at positions 254 to 1398 of the family's 1533-position model. Lineage: Bacteria; Bacillati; Mycoplasmatota; Mollicutes; Acholeplasmatales; Acholeplasmataceae. The record is from RNAcentral.
GAGGUAAAGGCUUACCAAGAUUAUGAUGUGUAGCUGGACUGAGAGGUUGAACAGCCACAUUGGGACUGAGACACGGCCCAAACUCCUACGGGAGGCAGCAGUAGGGAAUUUUCGGCAAUGGAGGAAACUCUGACCGAGCGACGCCGCGUGAACGAUGAAGUAUUUCGGUAUGUAAAGUUCUUUUAUUGAAGAAGAAAAAAUAGUGGAAAAACUAUCUUGACGUUAUUCAAUGAAUAAGCCCCGGCUAACUAUGUGCCAGCAGCCGCGGUAAGACAUAGGGGGCGAGCGUUACCCGGAAUUAUUGGGCGUAAAGGGUGCGUAGGCGGUUAGAUAAGUCUAUAAUUUAAUUUCAGUGCUUAACGCUGUCUUGUUAUAGAAACUAUCUUGACUAGAGUGAGAUAGAGGCAAGCGGAAUUCCAUGUGUAGCGGUAAAAUGUGUAAAUAUAUGGAGGAACACCAGAAGCGUAGGCGGCUUGCUGGGUCUUUACUGACGCUGAGGCACGAAAGCGUGGGGAGCAAACAGGAUUAGAUACCCUGGUAGUCCACGCUGUAAACGAUGAGCACUAAGUGUCGGGGGUAACUCGGUACUGAAGUUAACACAUUAAGUACUCCGCCUGAGUAGUACGUACGCAAGUAUGAAACUUAAAGGAAUUGACGGGACUCCGCACAAGCGGUGGAUCAUGUUGUUUAAUUCGAAGAUACACGAAAAACCUUACCAGGUCUUGACAUACUCUGCAAAGCUAUAGAAAUAUAGUGGAGGUUAUCAGGGAUACAGGUGGUGCAUGGUUGUCGUCAGUUCGUGUCGUGAGAUGUUAGGUUAAGUCCUAAAACGAACGCAACCCCUGUCGCUAGUUGCCAGCACGUAAUGGUGGGGACUUUAGCGAGACUGCCAAUUAAAAAUUGGAGGAAGGUGGGGAUAACGUCAAAUCAUCAUGCCCCUUAUGAUCUGGGCUACAAACGUGAUACAAUGGCUAUUACAAAGAGUAGCUGAAACGCGAGUUUUUAGCCAAUCUCAAAAAGGUAGUCUCAGUACGGAUUGAAGUCUGCAACUCACUUCAUGAACUGGAAUCGCUAGUAAUCCGAAUCACAUGUCCGGUGAAUACGUUCUCGGGGUUUGUACACACCGCCCGUC